Molecule: ribosomal RNA, 460 nt
Filed under: uncultured bacterium
Lineage: Bacteria
Description: partial 16S ribosomal RNA
Rfam family: Bacterial small subunit ribosomal RNA
Source: RNAcentral
CCUACGGGAGGCAGCAGUGAGGAAUAUUGGUCAAUGGACGAGAGUCUGAACCAGCCAAGUAGCGUGAAGGAUGACUGCCCUAUGGGUUGUAAACUUCUUUUAUAUGGGAAUAAAAUGUUCCACGUGUGGGAUUUUGUAUGUACCAUAUGAAUAAGGAUUUGCUAACUCCGUGCCAGCAGCCGCGGUAAUACGGAGGAUCCGAGCGUUAUCCGGAUUUAUUGGGUUUAAAGGGAGCGAAGGUGGAUUGUUAAGUCAGUUGUGAAAGUUUGCGGCUCAACCGUAAAAUUACAGUUGAAACUGGCAGUCUUGAGUACAGUAGAGGUGGGCGGAAUUCGUGGUGUAGCGGUGAAAUGCUUAGAUAUCACGAAGAACUCCGAUUGCGAAGGCAGUUCACUGGACUGCAACUGACACUGAGGCUCGAAAGUGUGGGUAUCAAACAGGAUUAGAUACCCCAGUAGUC